Molecule: long non-coding RNA, 1175 nt
Filed under: Malus domestica (apple)
Lineage: Eukaryota; Viridiplantae; Streptophyta; Magnoliopsida; Rosales; Rosaceae
Description: long non-coding RNA (MDOM_LNC003111)
Source: RNAcentral
GCCUAGUCAUUGUCCAAGUGGAUGCCACGUCAUCAGUUAACGGAAAAUUUAACAACAACCUUAAUGGAUGUAUGAAAGUGUUCAAAAAUUAUAACUUUAUGUACUACUCUGGGAUGAAAAAAACUUCAUGUACCAAAUGUUGAAAACAAAUAACUUUAAGGUAGUAAACUGAGAUUAACCCUUAUAUUUAUCUCGCUCAUUUGAUUUCCAAAAACAUCUCAUGAUAAUCACAAUGGAUGUCAAAUAUAAUUAUCAUUCUGUAAAAAUAAUAAUUAUCAAGGAAAUCAUGAAGAACAUCUUGCUUUAUCUCUCCAUCCAACAGCCUAAAAUGCAUGAGUCGAUGGUAUAAAUUAUGUCCAAACAUAUGGUCAUUGAAUUCUCUCUUAAUAUGGUCAUUGAAUUUCUAGCCAUUGUGUCCAUUAAAUGAAAUUAAUUUUGGGUUUCAAUUUAUAGGAGUAUUCCUUUUGAUAUCAAUUAUUCAUUUUAUUUCUUUAAAUAAAUGAGGAACAACAUAACCAUCCUGGAAUAAUAUAUAAACUAACACAAGGGUGGGAGUAGAUACACGAUUGAAUGGUCAAUUCCUAUAAUUUUUUAUAAUCUCUCUACAUACUUUUAUGUGUAUUAAGUUCCUCAGAAGAGUUCAACUCAACUAGAUAUUAGGAGUACACCCUAGUCUGGUAGCGGGCUGUCGAAUUAUGGCGACUAUACGCCAUUACCCUGUUCCAUUGGUUUGAGAACCUGAGGGGGCAAAAUCGAUUUUAAAGACAACGACUAUCGUGCUUUAGCCAAUUGAUGUUGUAAUACACUGGGCUUAGUGUAUUUGUAACCAACCUUUAUUUUAUAAAAUGUUGUUGCUCGCGUUGUUUUUAUAAGAUGUGUUAUCUAAUUUAUUUGUUUGUUGGGUUUUCCUUUCUCUUUUAACAGGAAUAAAGAACACAUAUACAAUAAGAGACUUUGAUUAACUUUCUAUGUUGUAAAAGUAAUACAUACGAUUUUUUUUGGAUAAAAAUGUUGAUGCACAAAAUCAGCGAAGACUUUGAUACAACAGAAAAUUUUAAGUUUGUGACCUUCGCUAGAUUGCUCCGGUCACUAGUGUGGAUAAGUAUGUAAAUGGAUAGAGACAGGGAAGCAAACACAAGAUGUAUGUGGUUCACCCAGAUUGGCUACAUCCACGG